This 112-nucleotide ribosomal RNA is filed under the name Octodon degus (degu). Lineage: Eukaryota; Metazoa; Chordata; Mammalia; Rodentia; Octodontidae. The record is from RNAcentral.
CUAUGGCCAAACCAACUUGAACAUGUCCAAUCUCGUCUAAUCUCAGAAGCUAAGCAAGGUCAGGCCUGGUUAGUACUUAGAUGGGACAAAGUUAUACGUGGGACUGUUUUGC